RNAcentral lists this ribosomal RNA (497 nucleotides) under uncultured bacterium. Its description in RNAcentral is "partial 16S ribosomal RNA". It matches the Rfam family "Bacterial small subunit ribosomal RNA", at positions 28 to 507 of the family's 1533-position model. The record is from RNAcentral.
GAUGAACGCUGGCGGCGUGCCUAAUACAUGCAAGUCGAGCGAACAGACGAGGAGCUUGCUCCUCUGACGUUAGCGGCGGACGGGUGAGUAACACGUGGAUAACCUACCUAUAAGACUGGGAUAACUUCGGGAAACCGGAGCUAAUACCGGAUAAUAUAUUGAACCGCAUGGUUCAAUAGUGAAAGACGGUUUUGCUGUCACUUAUAGCUGGAUCCGCGCCGCAUUAGCUAGUUGGUAAGGUAACGGCUUACCAAGGCAACGAUGCGUAGCCGACCUGAGAGGGUGGUCGGCCACCCUGGAGCUGGGACACGGUCCAGACUCCUACGGGAGGCAGCAGUAGGGAAUCUUCCGCAAUGGGCGAAAGCCUGACGGAGCAACGCCGCGUGAGUGAUGAAGGUCUUCGGAUCGUAAAACUCUGUUAUUAGGGAAGAACAAAUGUGUAAGUAACUAUGCACGUCUUGACGGUACCUAAACAGAAAGCCACGGCUAACUACGUG